This 1048-nucleotide long non-coding RNA is filed under the name Olea europaea subsp. europaea. Lineage: Eukaryota; Viridiplantae; Streptophyta; Magnoliopsida; Lamiales; Oleaceae. The record is from RNAcentral.
GUUAUCCUCCAUUACUGGAUAAGAUUUUGUAAAUCUUAUUUGCCUGACUUGCUGCUUGUUGGAAACAUCUUCUCAGGUGAUAAUGUUUUGUCCUACGCUAAUUCUAUUGUGUGUCCAUUUUCAGUUGAAUGAGAUGCUGAAAGAGAGAGUCCAGCCAUACCUACAAAAUGUUGACAACAGUGUUCUUCCUCGGCCUAUAUUAUUGCAAACCCAGAGUAAUCAGGACCAAAAGGUUUCUUCUCUCAUCUUGCUUUUGCUAUUAAUCUAUCCUGUUAAUCUUUGGGGUUGAAAAUUGAAAUUGCUAGACAAACUUUUGGAAGAACUCCCUUUACAUAAAGGUUUGAGUAUUAAAAAAGAUUAUUAAUAGGACUUUAGACUAUAUCAAGUAAACGAGUUCAUCAUAUGCAGUGAGUGAUAUUUUAUUAUAAAGCAGAUUGAUUAUUCAUGGUCACAUUUUUUAAUGGAAUUGCAUGUGAAGUGAAUAUUGAAUUACGCAUGAAAUAGCCUUUUAAUAUAAAUGAAAUGACAAGUAACGGCCACUAAGAGAAUUUUACAUAAAGCAUCUUGAUUACAAUGUCACCGUAUCAAAGCAAAAACUGGAUUUUACUGGUUUUACCACUAGUAAUAUAUAUUCUGCAUGCCUCACACUUGCUUAUUUGCUGCAGAGAAAGCAGGCUCGAAGACGAUGGUGGUUGUUUUGAGAGCUUUUGUAAUGCUGAGUUCCUGAGUUUCUUGCUGAUGACGGCUCGGCCAAUUUUGUUCGUCAAUUUGUAUGUUGUAUUUAACUCUCGGAAACAAUUGGCUAUCCUUCUCUCGGAAUUCUUCGUGUUUUUUUAAUCUUUGUUGAUUAAAAAAGCAUGACAGAUUAUAAACCACAAAAUUGUUUGAUUGUUUUUUAUUUUUAUAUAAUGCGAUGUUUUAAAGGCAUGAUGUUGGUCUCGCCCUUGUUUACCCUGCGAAUAAUAAAAUGCCGCUUAUUUUUACUUUGCUUGUCGUCUUUUGCUAUUAUCCAUUUUAACGUAGUAAAAACCUCUCAAAUGAAUUUUAG